UAUGUUAAUGGUGGGCUGUAUAAAAUGUGUGAGAAUACAUUUAAAAAGUUUAACACCGUCAUGUUCGAUGAGAGAAUAGAACGUACGAGAACGUACGAGACCAUAGAGAUAGCCGAGACCGAAACUCGUCUUCUACAAUUUGUGAAGGGCUUUUUCCGGAAUAAUAAAACAAACACAGUUGUGAACUCGUGCUAUGACUAAAGUAGCCUAUAGUAUCGAGAAACGAUUAAUAUAAUCGUAUACGUUACAUGUCUGGGUGAAUAAUUCAGCUCAUUCUUCCGAGGGCGCCGACUGAGUUGUUAGAAGUACAGGUAAUAUUCCUAAUUUCGAACAACAAAACAAGUAUCCUCGGAUCUGACGUCUCUACAGGAAGUCCAUGCAGAAAGGACCCACGGCCCUCUGUUUGAGGUAGGGGGCCCACAAACAAGAAUGAAGCUGUUUGUAUUUCCUGAGAGCGGUAAACAUCCUCAACACAAACACUUUCUUGGCCGCACCGCCAGCGAGAGAGGAGAAGCUCACACCGUCAGACUCAAGGAAGACCCAGACGUGAUCUGCCCAAUGAUGCCUCUCUACCAGACGAACUCAAUGCAUUUUACACUUUGACAAUAACAACACCUUGUCGUGCGCGAGGCCCCACACCGACCCGACUCGGUGAGCGAGUUUAUUAGCAAGUCCAUCGGCGAUGUCGUACCCACAGCAACUAUUAAAACAUUCCCAAACCAGAA
Salvelinus namaycush (lake trout) is the source of this 725-nucleotide long non-coding RNA. RefSeq lists it as uncharacterized. The record is from RefSeq and is a predicted model, not a curated record. The transcript is spliced from 3 exons. Lineage: Eukaryota; Metazoa; Chordata; Actinopteri; Salmoniformes; Salmonidae.